AACCUGCCCUUGGGAGGGGAACAACAGCUGGAAACGGCUGCUAAUACCCCAUAGGCUGAGGAGCAAAAGGAGGAAUCCGCCCAAGGAGGGGCUCGCGUCUGAUUAGUUAGUUGGUGAGGCAAUGGCUUACCAAGGCGACGAUCAGUAGCUGGUCCGAGAGGAUGAUCAGCCACACUGGGACUGAGACACGGCCCAGACUCCUACGGGAGGCAGCAGUGGGGAAUUUUCCGCAAUGGGCGAAAGCCUGACGGAGCAAUGCCGCGUGAAGGCAGAAGGCCCACGGGUCAUGAACUUCUUUUCUCGGAGA
RNAcentral lists this ribosomal RNA (307 nucleotides) under uncultured organism. RNAcentral's name for it is "bacterial SSU rRNA". It matches the Rfam family "Bacterial small subunit ribosomal RNA", at positions 123 to 445 of the family's 1533-position model. The record is from RNAcentral.